RNAcentral lists this ribosomal RNA (691 nucleotides) under uncultured archaeon. Its description in RNAcentral is "bacterial SSU rRNA". It matches the Rfam family "Archaeal small subunit ribosomal RNA", at positions 4 to 698 of the family's 1478-position model. The record is from RNAcentral.
CUGGUUGAUCCUGCCAGAGGUCACUGCUCUCAGUGUUCGACUAAGCCAUGCAAGUCAAAUGUUCUUCGUGAACAUGGCGAACUGCUCAGUAACACGUGGAUAACCUGCCCUUGGGACCGGCAUAACCCUGGGAAACUGGGGAUAAUUCUGGAUAACCCAUGAAUGCUGGAAUGCUUCGUGGGUAAAAUGGUUUCGACUGCCCAAGGAUGGAUCUGCGGCCGAUUAGGUAGUUGUUGGGGUAACGGCCCAACAAGCCUGUAAUCGGUACGGGUUGUGGGAGCAAGAGCCCGGAGAUGGACUCUGAGACACGAGUCCAGGCCCUACGGGGCGCAGCAGGCGCGAAAACUUUACAAUGCAGGAAACUGUGAUAAGGGAACCCCGAGUGGCCGUAUACGCGGGCUGGCCAGGUGGAUAAAAAGCAUCUGAAGAAAGGGCCGGGCAAGACCGGUGCCANGCCGCCGCGGUAAUACCGGCGGCUCGAGUGGGGCCACUUUUAGUGGGCUUAAAGGGUCGNAAGCUGGGUUGUUAAGUCUCUUGGGAAAUCUCACGGCUCAGCCGUGAGGCGUCUAAGGGAUACUGGCAACCUANGGACCGGAGAAGGGGAGAGGUACUCCAGGGGGUAGGAAGUGAAUCCUGGUAAUCUUGGGGGGACGCCUGGGGGCGAAGGCGCUCACAGGACGGGUCCGACAGG